UACCACUACCGUGUUGUCAUUACAUUUGUAGAUAAUGGACGAGCCGUUGGUGCUGGGCUCACGUGAGCCUGGUGCUUUCAGAGCCGGCAGAGCCUCCCCGUGGGCUGGCCGGCCAGACCCGCGUCCAGCAAACACUUCCUCGCGGCCGCUGCGCCUGCGUUUACUCCUCAGCCUCCAUCCCGCCUGUGGUGUCGGCUCUGCCCUGUCACUUGCUUUGGCCAGUGGAACUUGGAAGGAAGAGAGCGUGUGCCAGCGCAGAGCCCAGCCCCCGAUGGGCAUUGCAUGUUUCUCCUUGCCCCUCAGGGAGCCUCUGUCACCUGCCAGGGGAUGGCGCCCCGGGGGCUGCUCUGCAGGAGGCGGCUCGUGCGCAGCCUCAAUGUGACCUUGGCCCGGAGCAGAGCCUCCCAGCUGUGCCUCGUCUGGUUGGCGGGAGGCAAUGCCUGUUGCUGUACCCCGCUGAGAUCGGGUGGUUGUUUGAUACACAGAAAACCUGGCGGGUGCACCCGGGAGCUCCACAGGAGCAGGCUAGGAACAGCGCUUAUCGGGCCGCGUAAGGCUCGUGAGGAGCCGAUAGGAUGGUCAGUCCCACACGUGCCAAGUCCCGACCUGUGCGUGGCAUCUGCAUCUUCCAGGUCAUCGUCAUGCUCUGAGUUCCUCCUGGGGGACCCUCCUGCCUUCCUGCGGGUGGGGGCUCCUGGGGGAGGGGCAUCAGAGCCUGGCCCACCCCCAGGAGGGCCUGGGCUGGGGUUCAGGGCUGCAACCACAUCCUGGCUCCCUGGAGAGACUGCCUUUCUCCAGAUCAUUUCGGCGUCUGGUCUCCUUGUGACCCUGGGAGAAGCGGAGUUAGGGUUGGGGUUAGGGUUAGGGUUAGGGUUAGGUUAGGGUUAGGGGUAGGUUAGGGUUAGGUUAGGUUGAGUUAGGGUUAGGGUUUAGGGUUAGGGGUUAGGGUUAGGGUUAGGGUUACGGUUCGGGUUAGGGUUUAGGGUUGGGGUUGGGGUUGGCUUUGGGGUUAGAGACAGAAGGCCCACUUCUGGCCUUGCUCACCCCGUCCUUUGCUCAUGGACUCACCCAUGUUUUCUGAGCUCCUACGUGGCUCCGGCACUCGACUAGGGACCCACGAGGUCAGAGCGCUCAUUUUCCUGCCGUUCUGAUGACCUCACGGGGGUUUGCCCAGACCCGGUACCACGGGAGGUGUGGUGGGGAACGAGGCCAAGACACCCCACAGCUCUCCAGGGAAGAGCGGAUGCUUUCAGCCGGCAGUGCCGGGGCAGCUUCGUGCACGCGGUGCCAAGUGUACUUGAAAAAGCUUGAGUCAUUUGUUCAUCAGUCAAAACACCAUCUCUUUACCAUCGACCAUGUGCCGGGCACUGGGCUGGACCCAGGGACUCAGUGGUCAACUAGAAAGCUGUGCCCUCACUGUGUGGGCUGCAGGGCUUCAUGGCCGCCGAGUAGGGACAGGGACACAGAGGGACAGGAUGCUUCAGAAAAAAGAAAAACCGUAGACAAGAUGUAUUUUUAAGAUAGGAUUUGGGGCAACACUGGAAAUAAAGAAUGGUUAGAUCUGAAUGGCGCAGCAUUGCAAUGUAAGAAAGCCCCAGAGCGAUUUGUCCUUAUCACCUCUCGAAGCCUGCUAGGAACCGUGGUACAAUGCGACAGAAAAAGCUGCCACUUAGCGAGAACAGCGUUAGUCACAUUUCACCCGAGACCCUUGACUAGGAGGAAAGCUCUGAAUGGGUCUCUGCAUUACAGUGAGAGAUCAGUGAACCGCGAGUUUCCAGUAGUGCUGAGAUGCCAGAUGGGCAGGUGCCGAGCCUGCGUAGUGACGGCCCAGGGGGACGAGAGACACACCCUUUUGGAGAAGAGCACCAGACUCCGGAAAACCCAAACGUGCACGAAGGGUCUGGGCGUGAACAGUCUAACUGAUGUCAUGUCCAGAGUGAGGCUCUCUGGGGGGCAGAGCCUGAAUCACCCACUCCCAGGGCACAGCUGGUCUCUGUCCUGGCUACAAGUCAGUGGACCAGCCACCCAGGACCUGCGUUCCUGGCCAGACUGAGAAACUACGUCCCUUUUUCCUUUCGGUCCCGAGCCUUGGAAGGGAGAGAAAUUAGUCCUCUUGUAAGGUUACUGUAAUGCUGACAAGAUUUAGACGACAAGCAGUGUGUUAAAACCAUGCUGUUACUCUUUCGACUGGGACUGAGUGAAUGCAGUUAUAACUUGUAUAAUCAUCUCGUUUAUGGAUGUGUUUCUGCUAUUUAUGUGCUUGAAGGCUUCAAAAUAGUCUGUCAUAUUUUAUUUGUACAUAUGGUUUAAAUCAUUUAAGGGAACUGAAUUAAUUUAACUUGUAAAUGUUGCUUAAGAACAAUUAUUACCUACAUUUUGUUUAUCAAGCCCAUUGAGAAUUACAUGGCAAAGAGUCUGAGCGCCCUUCUAGCUCCAAACCCCCUGCAGAUGUUAGGGUCCCGAAGCACAUGGGUUUUCUUUUGUUUCAUGAUGAUGAAUUAACUAAAUUUCCUAAUACUGAGCAGAUUAUUCCUUUGUUAAUUCGGCCAGUUGUAAAGACUCUGUCCUUUAUGCAUGUCUUGUUAUCAAGGGGCUGUGUUGAGGCCACUGAUUCUUAAAUAUAGUCAGCAGCAUCUGUGUCAUCUGGGAACUUGUCAGAAAUGCAGGUUUUUGGAAGCCUCCCCAGCUCACCUGCCCACAGACCUCUUGAAUCAGAAACUCUGAGCUGGGCCCGGCCGUCUGUGGUUCAGCCAGCCUUCUAGGGGAUCCUGAUGCUCCCUGGAGCCUGGGAACCACGGCUGUUGGUUUUCUCUUUCUUCUUGGGUCAGUUUUAUGAUUUGUCUUUGCCUAGACAUUGUCCAUUAAAUCUAAGUUCUCAAAUAGAUUGUCAUGGGGCUGUGAACAUAUUUAUUUAGGAUUUUUAGGAGUUCCUGUUGCGGCUCAGUAGGUUAAGAAGCAUGAGGAUGCUCGUUGGAUCCCUGCCUCGCUCAGUGGGUUAAGGAUCCCGCAGCCCCUCCGCGCUGUGCUUGUCCACCUGGCUGGGAAGAAUGGGAAACAGCGACUCUGACCCAGCCUAUGGGCACAGUGCCCUCCAAGAAGCAAAACGGAUGCGUCUCCACCUCGCGGCACCUUAUUUAUGAAACACUGUAACGACUGCAUGUAUGUGCUUUUGCUGCCUGCAGGAGGGCAACACGGGGCUAUUUGCAGCGAGUUCCAUUGUGAACAUUCACUGCAGCGGGGCUGGGAUGUGCUGCUCACAUUAGCCUCUUCAUUGGGGGCCCUCUGGGGCACCCACUUUGCCCCUUGGCGGCCCUGAGGCUUCCCUGAGUUCCUGCAGGACUAACGGUCUGCUUUUGUGGGAACCGUGGGCCUCCGGGCUUCCUGGCGACACCCGCGGUGCUCCUGGCCCUCCCACCGUCUGGCUGGGGAUUUGCGAAGAGUGUGACUCCGAGUGUGACGUCUUCUUCCUUCUCUCUGCUGUUGGAACAACCCACCUCACCCUUUCUGUGCAUCCCUCCAGUGGGUGUCCGAGGGCCUCUCUGUACCAGGUGCUGGGCAAGGUGCUGGGUCUGCAGGGCGCACAUCGGAUCUGGUCCGUCAGGGGGAGAGCUGAGGGGAUGCUCUCUGAAGCCCCUCAAUCUCCAUCGGACCGCUUGGGGCCGGCGGGGCUGGUGCUCUGGGCCGAGUGAGUUCACGGUGCUGGUCGUCCGGGCGUCACGUGCCUGGGAUGCUCUUGGGCCUGAGGAGGGGCUGCCCCUCUCAGGCAUUUUAGGGGAAAACCUGGCUGGUGCGCUGGCGAAGCGCCUCCUCGGAUGUGCAUGACAAGCAGUGGCCACUGAAGGGGACCCCAGGCUUUCAGGAAGGCGUCCAAGCUGGGGGUGCGGGUCGCUCCGGCAGGUCCAGUCGCCCGUGCCCAGCCGGCACUGACCAGGGGUGGACCCCGGGGGGACCUGGUGGACUUCGAUGACUUGUGAAAACACCACCACAGGUGGGAAGGGGUAAACGUGGAUGGCUUACUUGUCAUUUUCAAGCCAUGAAGAUGUUAUCUCCGAGUUCACUUGAUUGUUGUGGUUGAAUGAAGACACUUAGGGAGGCAAAUUCAAUCGGGUUCGUUUGGGGGAAGGGGGCGUGUGAGGUCUGGGGGCUCAUUUAUUCAUCAUAUUGUGCUUUAGAGCAGACCCCAUGUUCACUGAGUGCGGGGGGGCAGGUGCGCUGUGCAGCCUGGAGACCUGCUCAGACACUUUAAAGUGUGAUGUGCUUUGGGAAUUCCCAACGGCGUAAAACAUCUUUGCACCUUUUUCUAAACAGAAUUCUUCCUCGGAGGGCACCAUUCGGGGGUGGGGUGGAUGCAGCCACAGAAGCUGCUGGAGCGAGUGUGAUCGAGGCCCUGGCCUUGGGGACUGAACACGGCUCUGCCCUCCUGUUUGCAGCAAAGUCAGUUUCACUGUCACACGGUGCAUGGAGGAGGCAGAGGGGUGGGUGGCUGAAGCCCACCUGAGUUCCUCCAGCAUCGUCUUGAGAGCGAGGCUGGCCUUUGCACCCCUGCUGGUCCAGAGCAAAGGGCUCCCUCCUCCCAGGCUGUGCCAGCAUUGGGGGAUGGUCUGUGCUCUUCUUACUCAGUUAGGUGGACGCUUGCCUCUGCUCCUGGCAGGGCUCACACAACCUUCCAGCCUUCAAGGAACAAAUCCAGGCCAGAGCUGCGUGCUUCUUCCUCUCUCAGCCCCCAAAUUUCAAAAUAAAAAGUCUGCUGAGGAAAUUCUCGUGGUGGCACAGUGGGUUAAGGAUCUGGUGUUGCCACAGCUGUGGUGUAGGUCACAGCUGCAGCUUAGAUUCAGUCCCUGGCCUGGGAACCUCUGUGUGCCCUGGGUGUAGCUGUAAAAAAAAAAAAAA
Molecule: long non-coding RNA, 4890 nt
Filed under: Sus scrofa (pig)
Lineage: Eukaryota; Metazoa; Chordata; Mammalia; Artiodactyla; Suidae
Description: lncRNA (ENSSSCG00015021983.1)
Source: RNAcentral